UUACCAAGUGUAUUUUUUCUCAUUUCUGACUAGGGAUGUUACGAUAUGAAAAUUUAAUUUCACGGUUAUUGGGACCAAUAUUAUCACGGUUAUCAUUAUUAUCACGGUAUUAUUGAAAUGGUGCUCAAAAUGUUCAACAAGUACUUAUACACACACUGAAAUAUUUUAACCAAGUUGUAUUUAAAAAAAAAAAAAAA
Long non-coding RNA from Sphaeramia orbicularis (orbiculate cardinalfish), 197 nucleotides. RefSeq lists it as uncharacterized. Lineage: Eukaryota; Metazoa; Chordata; Actinopteri; Kurtiformes; Apogonidae. The record is from RefSeq and is a predicted model, not a curated record. The transcript is spliced from 3 exons.